RNAcentral lists this long non-coding RNA (332 nucleotides) under dengue virus type 2. RNAcentral's name for it is "Dengue virus type 2 partial sfRNA1". The stretch from base 243 to 314 matches the Rfam family "Flavivirus DB element". The record is from RNAcentral. Lineage: Riboviria; Orthornavirae; Kitrinoviricota; Flasuviricetes; Amarillovirales; Flaviviridae.
UGAAAGUCAGGUCGGAUUAAGCCAUAGUACGGGAAAAACUAUGCUACCUGUGAGCCCCGUCCAAGGACGUAAAAAGAAGUCAGGCCAUCACAAAUGCCACAGCUUGAGUAAACUGUGCAGCCUGUAGCUCCACCUGAGGAGGUGUAAAAAACCCGGGAGGCCACAAACCAUGGAAGCUGUACGCAUGGCGUAGUGGACUAGCGGUUAGAGGAGACCCCUCCCUUACAAAUCGCAGCAACAACGGGGGCCCAAGGUGAGAUGAAGCUGUAGUCUCACUGGAAGGACUAGAGGUUAGAGGAGACCCCCCCAAAACAAAAAACAGCAUAUUGACG